UGAGUCAGCUCAUAGGAGGCCACGGAUCCUACAGGAGAGAAAACGGGAGAGAAAAGGCUUGAAACUGAGGAGCUGAACUCCAAGUAGUAUGAUGUCCUGCCCAUGUGGCCAUUCCUUGUCCUGCGUGGAGAUGGCCAGGGACUGACUUACAAUGGCGACUGAGGGAUUAUUCUGAGAUCUAAGGUGACACCGUAAGGCUGGCACACAUGCAGGGACCUGCCAUUGCUUCUGAGUGGUGCUUUCCACAAUCAAACUUCACCCUUGUCAUGUGCACACGGAGUGUUGAAAGACUCAGGAGAUGCUGUCCCUGAUUCCCUGGUCUGCAGACUGCUGGUGCCAAUGGAGGAAAUUUUUCUCUUCUCUUUGUGACUCAUGCCUGCCUCAAUACCAGAUACAGGACCUAGGAACACAAAAUCUGCAAACUGCACUUAACACAAAAGGGAAGGGGCUGAGAUGGGGAGGAACAAUUCCAAGGUCACUUGGCAAGGAGAGAGAAAAGGAAGACGAGAAAUGCUCUGGACCUGUAACAGUAAGUCUUCUGAGUGUCCUGGGACCAGCCUGCCAGGGAGGGCAUGGGAAAAUCCUCAGCCCAAAUUCUCAGCCCAAAUCCCUCCCUAUGGAGACGGCAUCUCAGUCAGCUCUUUUAGCUGCCUGUAGGGGGCGCGCCUGCCACACUCUGGGUUGAAAGGGAGAGAAAAGACGGUUGAUUCCCAGCUCAGGAACCAAGCUGUCUAGAGACAUUUUCUUUUCUUUUUUUUUUUUAAUUUAUUAUUAUUAUACUUUA
Molecule: long non-coding RNA, 784 nt
Filed under: Homo sapiens (human)
Lineage: Eukaryota; Metazoa; Chordata; Mammalia; Primates; Hominidae
Description: HSALNT0405110
Source: RNAcentral